Neopelma chrysocephalum (saffron-crested tyrant-manakin) is the source of this 1320-nucleotide long non-coding RNA. RefSeq lists it as uncharacterized. The transcript has 4 exons. Lineage: Eukaryota; Metazoa; Chordata; Aves; Passeriformes; Pipridae. The record is from RefSeq and is a predicted model, not a curated record.
GUCUGGGCUAAUGAGUCCAUGGAAAGGAGUGUCUUGUGCCCAGGGCAUGUAGAGCUGAAACAUAAAUAAUGAAGAAGAGAGAGAGAGAGAUCUGUGAGAAUGAGCACAUCCAGAGCAGGCCACAGAGGAAAAGAAUAAAACCGACCUGUUACCUACAUAAUUUUUUCUUUCAAGGCAGGGCUUACAGUGUUCAUGUGUCUACAUGUUAAAUUCUCCGUCUCAGAGAAGGAAGCCUAUGGAGACUUAAUUUGUAUGAUGAAGCAACAGUUAUCUCAGGGACAAAGCUUGCGAACCAAGUCUUGCAAGAAGUUCAAAGGGAUGUAGAAUCGUGGAUAUCCGUUGGGAACAAGAGACCUCAUCUCACUGUCAUAUUAGUGGGAGACAAUCCAGCCAGUCAUAUCUAUGUCAGGAACAAGAUAAAAGCAGCUGCAGCUGUGGGCAUUUCUAGUGAGAUCAUUGUGAGGCCUAAAGACGUUUCUGAGGAAGAGCUCUUAGAUCUGACAGUGCGACUCAACAAGGAUUCGAGAGUCAGUGGCUUGUUAGUUCAGCUUCCUCUGCCAGGUAGGUGACACCUUUUGUCCCGCUCCUCCUCUCCAGUCUGUGUGAGAGGAAAGAGUGUGAGGCUUUUGGGCUGCUUGGGGACAUGAGAAGCUGUUGAGAGAGGACACGCAUCCUGAAGGAUUAGGUGAGAUGGUAAUUGUUUUGUUCCACCUGCUGUUCAUUUUAAACCAAAAACCAAAUUGUGAGAAUCAUUUCCUAUGUCAAACUUGCCUUUUUUUACGAUCAGUCAGGGUGGUGUUUCAAGGCAUUUCCCUCCACUCCUAAUUUAUCCGGUUGAAUUGUCUUUAUUUUUCAACCUGUUGCAGUGUUUUGCCUUAGCUCCAUACUUUCAUCCCUUAGAUGAUGCUGAGUUGUGCUAUGCAGGAGAUGAUGCCACAGCCUUUCUCACAGCGAUUGCAGGUUUUGCCUUCAGCAUUUAUUCCUGUUUUCUAUGCUGUCCCUGAUGUUCCAGGUGAGCUUUGUGCAGAAGUCCCAAAAGCCUUGACUGAAAUCUUGGUUUUUUAAUUUGCCUUCUCCUAAUUUGUAGUAUAAUCUCACUGAAAUAUCACUUGGCAGUAGGUGGCCAAGUGGUAAUUUUACAGUGAUGAAAGUUGUAAAAAAAGCCCUGAACUAAACUAAAAGCAUUUUCCAUCUGUGAAAGAGCAAAAGUGGGGCAGGUGCUGAGGGUUGUAGAGGAAGAAGUGCUUUGUUUGUAUUUGCAAUAAAGAGCAGCGCUGGUGGUGAGGGGAGUUUGCACUUGGUAUGCCAGGAGAGCUGCCU